GAUGAACGCUGGCGGCGUGCCUAAUACAUGCAAGUCGAGCGAACGGACGCGAAGCUUGCUUCUCUGAUGUUAGCGGCGGACGGGUGAGUAACACGUGUAUACUCUACCUAUAAGACUGGGAUAACUUCGGGAAACCGGCUCUUAUCCCGGAUAAUCUUUUGAAGCACAUGGGUGAAAAGUGAAAGACGGUCGUGGUGUCACUUCUCGAUGGAUCCGCGCUGCAUUAGCUAGUUGGUAAGGUAACGGCUUACCACGGCAACUAUGCCUAGGCGACCUGAGAGGGUGAUCGCCCACACUGGAACGUAGACACGGUCCAGACGCCUGCGGGAGGCAGCAGUAGAGAAUCUGCCGCAAUGGUCGAAAGCCUGGCGGAGCGACGCCGCGUGAGUGAUGAAGGUCUUCGGAUCGUAAAACUCUGUUAUUAGGGAAGAACAUAUGUGUAAGUAACUGUGCACAGCUUGACGGUACCUAAUCAGAAAGCCACGGCUAACUACGUG
This 497-nucleotide ribosomal RNA is filed under the name uncultured bacterium. RNAcentral's name for it is "partial 16S ribosomal RNA". It matches the Rfam family "Bacterial small subunit ribosomal RNA", at positions 28 to 507 of the family's 1533-position model. The record is from RNAcentral.